RNAcentral lists this transfer RNA (77 nucleotides) under Candidatus Saccharimonadota bacterium. Its description in RNAcentral is "Candidatus Saccharibacteria bacterium tRNA-Val". It matches the Rfam family "tRNA". From Rfam's summary of the family: Transfer RNA (tRNA) molecules are approximately 80 nucleotides in length. Their secondary structure includes four short double-helical elements and three loops (D, anti-codon, and T loops). Further hydrogen bonds mediate the characteristic L-shaped molecular structure. tRNAs have two regions of fundamental functional importance: the anti-codon, which is responsible for specific mRNA codon recognition, and the 3' end, to which the tRNAs corresponding amino acid is attached (by aminoacyl-tRNA synthetases). tRNAs cope with the degeneracy of the genetic code in two manners: having more than one tRNA (with a specific anti-codon) for a particular amino acid; and 'wobble' base-pairing, i.e. permitting non-standard base-pairing at the 3rd anti-codon position. Lineage: Bacteria; Candidatus Saccharimonadota. The record is from RNAcentral.
GGGAUUGUAGCUCAGUUGGCUAGAGCGCAGCAUUCACAUUGCUGAAGUCGGGGGUUCGAGCCCCUCCAAUCCCACCA